CCCUUAGAUGUUCUGGGCCGCACGCGCGCUACACUGACGAAUGCAACGAGCUUAUAACCUUGGCCGAAAGGUCUGGGUAAUCUCCAAAUUUCGUCGUGAUGGGGAUAGAUUAUUGCAAUUAUUAAUCUUCGACGAGGAAUGCCUAGUAAGCGCAAGUCAUCAGCUUGCGUUGAUUACGUCCCUGCCCUUUGUACACACCGCCCGUCGCUCCUACCGAUUGAAUGGUCCGGUGAAGCGUUCGGACCGUGGCCUUUGGACGGUCCGCCGUCUGUUGGCUGCGGGAAGUUCGUUAAACCUUAUCAUUUAGAGGAAGGAGAAGUCGUAACA
Molecule: ribosomal RNA, 327 nt
Filed under: uncultured eukaryote
Lineage: Eukaryota
Description: partial 18S ribosomal RNA
Rfam family: Eukaryotic small subunit ribosomal RNA
Source: RNAcentral